This 476-nucleotide ribosomal RNA is filed under the name uncultured organism. Its description in RNAcentral is "partial 16S ribosomal RNA". It matches the Rfam family "Bacterial small subunit ribosomal RNA", at positions 334 to 801 of the family's 1533-position model. The record is from RNAcentral.
CACUCCUGCGGGAGGCAGCAGUGGGGAAUAUUGCACAAUGGGCGCAAGCCUGAUGCAGCCAUGCCGCGUGUAUGAAGAAGGCCUUCGGGUUGUAAAGUACUUUCAGCGGGGAGGAAGGCGAUAAGGUUAAUAACCUUGUCGAUUGACGUUACCCGCAGAAGAAGCACCGGCUAACUCCGUGCCAGCAGCCGCGGUAAUACGGAGGGUGCAAGCGUUAAUCGGAAUUACUGGGCGUAAAGCGCACGCAGGCGGUCUGUCAAGUCGGAUGUGAAAUCCCCGGGCUCAACCUGGGAACUGCAUUCGAAACUGGCAGGCUAGAGUCUUGUAGAGGGGGGUAGAAUUCCAGGUGUAGCGGUGAAAUGCGUAGAGAUCUGGAGGAAUACCGGUGGCGAAGGCGGCCCCCUGGACAAAGACUGACGCUCAGGUGCGAAAGCGUGGGGAGCAAACAGGAUUAGAAACCCUAGUAGUCCCAUGAU